RNAcentral lists this ribosomal RNA (253 nucleotides) under uncultured bacterium. Its description in RNAcentral is "partial 16S ribosomal RNA". It matches the Rfam family "Bacterial small subunit ribosomal RNA", at positions 524 to 776 of the family's 1533-position model. The record is from RNAcentral.
UACGGGGGGGGCAAGCGUUGUUCGGAAUUACUGGGCGUAAAGGGCUCGUAGGCGGCCAACUAAGUCAGACGUGAAAUCCCUAGGCUCAACCUAGGAACUGCGUCUGAUACUGGAUGGCUUGAAUCCGGGAGAGGGAUGCAGAAUUCCAGGUGUAGCGGUGAAAUGCGUAGAUAUCUGGAGGAAUACCGGUGGCGAAGGCGGCAUCCUGGACCGACAUUGACGCUGAGGAGCGAAAGCUAGGGGAGCAAACGGG